RNAcentral lists this ribosomal RNA (496 nucleotides) under uncultured bacterium. Its description in RNAcentral is "bacterial SSU rRNA". It matches the Rfam family "Bacterial small subunit ribosomal RNA", at positions 28 to 532 of the family's 1533-position model. The record is from RNAcentral.
GACGAACGCUGGCGGCGUGCUUAACACAUGCAAGUCGAACGGACGAGUGAGAUAAGUUUACUUAACUCACAAGUUAGUGGCGGACGGGUGAGUAACACGUGGAUAAUCUACCUGCAACACCGGGAUAACGCUGUGAAAACGGUGCUAAUACCGGAUACGUUCCCUUGUGCGCAUGUAUGAGGGAAGAAAGCUCAGGCGGUUGCAGAUGAGUCCGCGGCUGAUUAGCUAGUUGGUGAGGUAAAGGCUCACCAAGGCGAUGAUCAGUAGCCGGCCUGAGAGGGUGAACGGCCACACUGGGACUGAGACACGGCCCAGACUCCUACGGGAGGCAGCAGUGGGGAAUCUUCCGCAAUGGGCGCAAGCCUGACGGAGCAACGCCGCGUGGGUGAAGAAGGCCUUCGGUUGUAAGCCUGUCUUAUGGAGAAGUCAGUGACGGUACCACUAGGAGGAAGCCACGGCUAACUACGUGCCAGCAGCCGCGGUAAAGUACGUCUAC